Molecule: small nuclear RNA, 23 nt
Filed under: Arabidopsis thaliana (thale cress)
Lineage: Eukaryota; Viridiplantae; Streptophyta; Magnoliopsida; Brassicales; Brassicaceae
Description: snRNA_09664
Source: RNAcentral
AGUUAUAACAACAAAAUGUUCAA